AAACCUACCCCUGGUAGGGGUAACCUACCAUGAUCCCAAAGGUGGUUUUCCCAGGGCAAGGCUUAUCCAUUGCACUCCAGAUGUGCUGACCCCUGUGAUUUCCCCAAAUGUGGGAAACUUGACACAUACUUUGUGAUCGCAGGGGACUGCAUUCAUGCUCUCCCCUG
Molecule: small nuclear RNA, 167 nt
Organism: Phyllostomus discolor (pale spear-nosed bat)
Lineage: Eukaryota; Metazoa; Chordata; Mammalia; Chiroptera; Phyllostomidae
Product: U1 spliceosomal RNA
Exons: 1
Source: RefSeq, a predicted model, not a curated record